CUGCGGAUGUUUUUUUUGUUCAUAGCAACCGUUGACUUUGUAAUAUUUUUUCGAGGUUUUCGUUUCGCAUUUAAUUUUAACUUCCCUUGAGGAGUAGGAGUAACUUGCUAAUUAAACGUGAAUUCAAUCGAACUGAUAUAAAACAACUACCAACAGGGUUUACCAUUUGAUCGCUCAAUUUUUGGAAAGCAACCGCAACAAGCUCCUGAAUUUCUAUGAAGCAGAAGUGUACGAGGUACUGCACUGCAAUCAAAGGUACUGCAAUCGAUCAGAUCGACGAAAAAUUCCGCUUAUUUGAAACCAGCUUUGUUGAAAACUGCAGUCACAGCUAACUCAAAUCCUACCAGUUCCGAUGAUGUGUCUCACUGGUUUAAAGAUUCGUGAUAUUUCGCAGAACCUCCAAGUCGCUUCAUUUACGGUAGUCGGUCAGUUGUAUCAAGGUACUGCCGAACGGUACAUACCAAAUCUGCUGGUGGAAAAAAUUGUUCGCCUCCCACUGGACCAGAAAUAAAAAACUACGUCGAACGUGUGCAUUUUGUUUCCCAAUUACGGGCAUAUCUAUUUCGACAAGCAUAAUUGAAGUAUCUUAGAAAAAAUUCUUUAGAUGCAGACAUGUACAACUUGAGAACAAUUGACGUCAAAAGUUUACUAGCAUCUACGGCCCAGCGGAUUUUGAACGUUGCACAAAAGCUUCUCCUAUUGGCGAAACGCAACGAAAAUGAGUUGAUUUGUUCGGUUGAGUAGGACAUUAUUCAAACGUUAGUUUUGCAGACCUUUUGCACUACGAAAUUUUUCCUAACCUAAUGCAUAAUGUAAUGAAUUUCGAUUCCAUGGGUCUCGCAACGGAGCUUUGCCUGUUUCGUAUCAUAGCUUGUCGUAAUAAAGUUAUCUCAGGAGCCAAUCGAUCGAUCGAACCUUGCAUGAUCUGCUGUUCCCUGUGAUACAAUAUGAUCAACAGCGCAUAGCGUAGAUUAUUACCUUGUACAAUUCAUCCAUAAAGGUAUUGAGCGAUGGAACGCUCGAAAAUCUUAAGCAAACAAAUUAUCUGCGGAUACUUAUUUCUAAACAGCAACACUCAUACCUUUUUAAGGUGAAACGGGAUUGUGGCCUUUUCCUAUACAAUUUUGAGGUUAGAGUUCUUUUUACUUCUGUAUUUUGAUCGUAAAAAAUUCGACUUCCACUAAAUAAACAGCACUCAAAUUGCUACUUCAGUUGUGAAAACAAUUGAUCAAAGUUUCAUGUACGUAGUCUUCAUUAAUCAAGAAAAAAUGAGAUUGCUAAAUUCGAGUUGAUCGCGACCACGUCCCGUUUCACCUUAAACAAACCGUUUACUAUAUAGAGAAAGUUCUUGGAUUGUUAAUUGGAUCGCAGUUUCGCUGAGGUAUAAUCACUGGAAUAAGUGGAAAAAGCGGAAAUCGGAAUCGUUACAACACUACAAACUGAAGCGUUCGGUGGACCUGUCGCAGAACCGGUUGGACAGCGGUCAUGAGGAACCUACCAAGGCAUUCGGAUAAAUUGACAAAAUCUGGGUUGUAGAAAUCGUUUUAUC
This is a long non-coding RNA of Wyeomyia smithii (pitcher-plant mosquito), 1549 nucleotides long. RefSeq lists it as uncharacterized. The record is from RefSeq and is a predicted model, not a curated record. Lineage: Eukaryota; Metazoa; Arthropoda; Insecta; Diptera; Culicidae. The transcript has 4 exons.